GCCGAAGUGGCGGAACCGGCAGACGCGCACGACUCAAAAUCGUGUGGGGAAACCCGUGUGGGUUCGACUCCCACCUUCGGCACCA
This 85-nucleotide transfer RNA is filed under the name Chloroflexota bacterium. RNAcentral describes it as "Chloroflexi bacterium (mine drainage metagenome) tRNA-Leu". It matches the Rfam family "tRNA". From Rfam's summary of the family: Transfer RNA (tRNA) molecules are approximately 80 nucleotides in length. Their secondary structure includes four short double-helical elements and three loops (D, anti-codon, and T loops). RNAcentral also lists the same sequence under 1 other name. Lineage: Bacteria; Bacillati; Chloroflexota. The record is from RNAcentral.